This 647-nucleotide long non-coding RNA is filed under the name Danio rerio (zebrafish). Its description in RNAcentral is "lncRNA (ENSDARG00000117325.1)". Lineage: Eukaryota; Metazoa; Chordata; Actinopteri; Cypriniformes; Danionidae. The record is from RNAcentral.
GCGAAGCAGAGGCGGAAUUAGCAGUGUUCACGUUAACGGUAUGGUUUUACUUUGAUGAUGACAGUAGUCAGCUUCACUUGUGAGUGAGAGCUCACACCUCUCACAUCCGUGAUCUGUGCGGUUUGACAAGAACCUGACAGUUUAUAAAAAGCUCGUAGAGAAGUUAACUUUUCAGAAAAUUUGCGGGGAAACUUUUCUGAAGAUAAUGUGAAUUUACUACUCUGGACAAUUACGAUCCAUAAAGUAAGAUGGGACAUCUUAAUAUCAGAACUGUCUGCAAAAGAGCAGUGCUUUUGCUCUAUGUCAUUCUUCAGGGUUUGAAUGCACAGAACAGUGAUCAAGCAGCCUCCACCACAAUAAUCUCUCCACCAAUUGUGUCUCCAACAUCAGCACCUUCAACAACAUCUGCCAAUGCAAGUUCUACAACUGAGUCUCAAACAGCAACACCUACAAAUUCUUCAUCAACUGAGUCUCUGACCUCAACAGCACCUUUAACACCACCUGCCAACUCAAGUUCUUCUGCAACUGAGUCAACAGUUCCAAACUCUCCAUCAAAUGACUCUCAAACAUCAACAGCUCCUUUAAGUGAGUAUUUUUAUUAUUUGAUUAUUUUUAAACAAUUAAAAAAAAAAAAAGGUUAUAACUGA